GAUGAACGCUGGCGGCGUGCCUAAUACAUGCAAGUCGAGCGAACAGACGAGGAGCUUGCUCCUCUGACGUUAGCGGCGGACGGGUGAGUAACACGUGGAUAACCUACCUAUAAGACUGGGAUAACUUCGGGAAACCGGAGCUAAUACCGGAUAAUAUAUUGAACCGCAUGGUUCAAUAGUGAAAGACGGUUUUGCUGUCACUUAUAGCUGGAUCCGCGCCGCAUUAGCUAGUUGGUAAGGUAACGGCUUACCAAGGCGACGAUGCGUAGCCGACCUGAGAGGGUGAUCGGCCACACUGGAACUGAGACACGGUCCAGACUCCUACGGGAGGCAGCAGUAGGGAAUCUUCCGCAAUGGGCGAAAGCCUGACGGAGCAACGCCGCGUGAGUGAUGAAGGUCUUCGGAUCGUAAAACUCUGUUAUUAGGGAAGAACAAAUGUGUAAGUAACUAUGCACGUCUUGACGGUACCUAAUCAGAAAGCCACGGCUAACUACGUG
This 497-nucleotide ribosomal RNA is filed under the name uncultured bacterium. RNAcentral's name for it is "partial 16S ribosomal RNA". It matches the Rfam family "Bacterial small subunit ribosomal RNA", at positions 28 to 507 of the family's 1533-position model. The record is from RNAcentral.